GCAGCGACUCUAAAGAACUGCGCCAGUCGGGCUCCAUCUCGGGGCCUGGCGACGCCAUCAGUUUGGCUGGGAGUCCCCUCCGCGGGGGGCCAUCAGCAGCUCCCUCGGGAGUCCACAGAUCAAACGAUGAGCGGCCGUUUCACUGCGGUUCAGAUAUGACCGGCCCCAGCCUUCAUCGGCUGGUGACUUUUUGCGGAACCUGCGGAAGGAUCAUUAAUGAGAGAGGGGCUUCGCGCCCCGGCGGCUUCGCGGCCGCCGACUCUUCACCCUGUGUCUCAUCUACCUAUGUUGCUUUGGCGGGUCCUGGGGGUAAACCCCACGCCAACCUCGGGCUUUGCUGCCCGGGUCGGCCAGCGCCCGUCGAAGGCCCCAUCCAACUCUGUUUAUCAGUGAUGUCCGAGUACAAACACAAUAAUCAAAACUUUCAACAACGGAUCUCUUGGUUCU
RNAcentral lists this unclassified non-coding RNA (447 nucleotides) under rhizosphere metagenome. RNAcentral's name for it is "partial ribosomal RNA internal transcribed spacer region". The record is from RNAcentral.